UAAAAUAAAAUUAUAAAAUAAUAAACACAAGUUGUGUCUAUGCAUUGACACGUCAUCCUUAUCUCUUUAUCUCCCUCUUUUACAGGACAAAAUCUUCAAUCUUCAACCUUCAACCCUCUUUAAUUUCUUCCCUGUUCUUUUCUUCCUCUGUUUCUUUUUUCUCCCCUUGUUAUCAUUCCACAAUUUUUUUUUUCGGUUCUUUGCAUCCUUCAUUUAUUUAUUUAUUUAUUUUGUCGAUAAAUCAUUUUUCCUCCCUUUAAAUCCUUUUCUUCCGAAGAAGAAAAGAAAAAAAGCAAAAAAGAAUAAGUAACACUGUCACAAGGAUCUGAUUUUUCUUUUUUAUCUUUUUAAAAAAUGGCUUUUAUAAUUUAAAAUACUCAAGUUAUGGAUAAAGGCAAAAAUGCUAAUAUGAAUUUGUUGUGAUAUCGUGCAGUGGCUGCGGACCCGCGGCAUAGAGAUGUUGGAGUAGGGGUGCCGCGCGGGAGAACUUGACGGCAUUGACAGCAUCGAGUACUUAAAGUGGCUGUUGCCGUGCUAGUGUCGGUGAUAAAUGUUAUGGCUGAGCCGGUGUCGGCGAUAGAUUGGGUUUUGAGAAGAGAAUGGAAGCAAAGAGAAGAUGCGUUCUGUGGCUUAAUCGUGUUUUGAAGAAGAAAAAAUAUUACUCUUUUUUUUUUCCUCUCUUUAUAAGCAAUCACGCGUAAACCCGAUACCCCCCACGGGUUUAGUUAAUGCGGCUUUAACUGUAUAACAACAGUAAUGUUAUGCGGUAUAAUACGAAAUCAGUUUUUAGCCAAACAUAGGGAUGUAUUAAUUUAAUGCUAUGCGGGAUGGUAAUGCUGUGUAAAGCUGGAUGCCAAACGCAUCCUUAAUGGUUCAUGCCAUGCCUGCUCACAGGCUCUCAUGGCCUUCAUUUAAUGUCAGCAUGGCCCAUUGAAUUUGCUAGUUUUAAAUUUCACUUUUGUCUUUUAAACUAAACAAAUUUACUAGAGUUGUCUUCUCUUUUAGAGAUUUCCUCUAGCUUGUUUUAAGCUAUCCUUUAUUCACAUAAAAGUAUUGAUUUUUAAUCUAUUUUAUUCUCUAUUGGCAUAUGUCACUUGCCAAUUAGUCUAAAUCAAUAUCCCAAAUUUACCCUAAAACAAACAUCAAUGCAUGUCUCCAUGAUACAAUGAAUAAAAUUAGGAGUUCUAUUAAGGUUUAGAUAAAUUUUUCAAAGUUAUGUAAAAUUAAGGAUAAUUUUUUUGAGUAAUAUUAAAUUAGGACAAGCCAGCCCACUUAUGAAAUUCAUUUAAGUGGAUUUACACCUUUUCUUACUCAUGAAUUAUUUGAUCGGACUCCUCUUUUGAAUAUGUUCUUGUGCGCAUUUAGUUGGUUUCUCUGUGAAUCAAUUUUUGCUUCCUUUUGUUAAUAAUGUGGUAUAAUGAUAUUUCG
Molecule: long non-coding RNA, 1428 nt
Filed under: Citrus sinensis (sweet orange)
Lineage: Eukaryota; Viridiplantae; Streptophyta; Magnoliopsida; Sapindales; Rutaceae
Description: long non-coding RNA (CSIN_LNC004185)
Source: RNAcentral